This 469-nucleotide ribosomal RNA is filed under the name Escherichia coli. Its description in RNAcentral is "bacterial SSU rRNA". It matches the Rfam family "Bacterial small subunit ribosomal RNA", at positions 1 to 466 of the family's 1533-position model. The record is from RNAcentral. Lineage: Bacteria; Pseudomonadati; Pseudomonadota; Gammaproteobacteria; Enterobacterales; Enterobacteriaceae.
AAAUUGAAGAGUUUGAUCAUGGCUCAGAUUGAACGCUGGCGGCAGGCCUAACACAUGCAAGUCGAACGGUAACAGGAAGAAGCUUGCUUCUUUGCUGACGAGUGGCGGACGGGUGAGUAAUAUCUGGGAAACUGCCUGAUGGAGGGGGAUAACUACUGGAAACGGUAGCUAAUACCGCAUAACGUCGCAAGACCAAAGAGGGGGACCUUCGGGCCUCUUGCCAUCGGAUGUGCCCAGAUGGGAUUAGCUAGUAGGUGGGGUAACGGCUCACCUAGGCGACGAUCCCUAGCUGGUCUGAGAGGAUGACCAGCCACACUGGAACUGAGACACGGUCCAGACUCCUACGGGAGGCAGCAGUGGGGAAUAUUGCACAAUGGGCGCAAGCCUGAUGCAGCCAUGCCGCGUGUAUGAAGAAGGCCUUCGGGUUGUAAAGUACUUUCAGCGGGGAGGAAGGGAGUAAAGUUAAUAC